AUUAAUAAAGUUGUUUUUAUUAUAAAUUGUGUUUGGUAUAUUAAUUAAAUAAAUUUAUGUUAUUGUAAAAUUUAUUGAUAUAAUUUUAUUUACUAUAGUGAAAAGUACUGUGAUGGAAAUUUUAAAGAAGUAUAAUAUAAUAAAUUAAAGGUAAUUUGGUUUAUUGUAUCUUGUGUAUCAGAGUAUAUCAAAAUGAAUAAUAGAUUUUAUUUUUCUCGAAUUUUAAAGAUUUAAUAUAGUAAUUUAGUUAUUGUAUUAUAAAUAUUAAAAAUACUAUAUUGGUAAUGAGAUGUUAUUCGUUUUUAAGGAUAUCUAGUUUUUUAAUAAAUGAAUUUAAUUCAGGAAAUGUAAAUUAUUUAAUAUGUAAGUGUUAAAAUAUUUAAUAUUUCUAAUUUUAAAAGGGAUCAGCUUUUUAAAAAAUAAUUAUAAUAAAAUAUAAAUAAAAGGAUUUUAUGAAUUUAGAAUUUGUUAUUAAUUGGAGGAUGUCAAAAUUUAAUUCUUAUUUUUUGUUGAUUUUUAAUUGUUAUUUAAUUUAUAUAUUAAAAUAUUAAAUUGAAUUUGUAAGUUUUAGAAAUAAUGAUUUAAUUAGUAAAAAUAUUUAUGUUAAAUAAAUUAUUAUUAUUUUUGAUAAAUAAUUAUAAAGAAUUAGGCAAAUAUUUCGCUCACCUGUUUAUUAAAAACAUGGUUUCUUGAAUAUAUUUAAGAGAUCUAGUCUGCCCACUGAAUAAUUUAUUAUUUAAAGGGCCGCGGUAUUUUGACUGUGCGAAGGUAGCGUAAUCAUUAGUCUUUUAAUUGAAGGCUCGUAUGAAUGGCUGGAUGAGGUGAAUACUGUUUUAUAUUUAUUUUAAUUGAAUUUAGAUUUUAAGUAAAAAUACUUAAAUAAUAUUAAGGGACGAGAAGACCCUAUAGAGUUUAAUAAAUGUAGUAAUUAGUUAAGUUAAAAAAUUAAUUUAUAAUUAAUAUGAAAUUUAUUUAAUUGGGGAGAUUUAAAGAUAAGUAGAACUCUUUUUAAAUUUUAAUAUUAUAUUUAGUUUUAUGAUCCAUCAAUAAUGAUUAAAAGAUUAAAUUACCUUAGGGAUAACAGCAUAAUUUCUUUUAAGAGUUCAUAUCGAAAAGGAAGAUUGUGACCUCGAUGUUGGAUUAAGAUUAGUCUUCAGGGUGUAGAUGUUCAUAGACUGGGUCUGUUCGACCUUUAAAAUCUUACAUGAUCUGAGUUUAAACCGGCGUAAGCCAGGUUGGUUUCUAUCUUUAAUUUUAUUAAAUAUCUUAGUACGAGAGGACCAGAUAUUUAAAAUAAUUUUUUAAUAAUGAAUUUUAUUAAUAUUAA
This 1327-nucleotide ribosomal RNA is filed under the name Creobroter sp. Its description in RNAcentral is "16S ribosomal RNA". The stretch from base 620 to 1327 matches the Rfam family "Archaeal large subunit ribosomal RNA", at positions 1423 to 2834 of the family's 2987-position model. The record is from RNAcentral. Lineage: Eukaryota; Metazoa; Arthropoda; Insecta; Mantodea; Hymenopodidae.